Molecule: ribosomal RNA, 465 nt
Filed under: uncultured bacterium
Lineage: Bacteria
Description: partial 16S ribosomal RNA
Rfam family: Bacterial small subunit ribosomal RNA
Source: RNAcentral
GAUGAACGCUGGCGGCGUGCUUAACACAUGCAAGUCGAACGAUGAAGCCCAGCUUGCUGGGUGGAUUAGUGGCGAACGGGUGAGUAACACGUGAGUAACCUGCCCUUGACUCUGGGAUAAGCCUGGGAAACUGGGUCUAAUACUGGAUAUGACUUCUCAUCGCAUGGUGGGGGGUGGAAAGAUUUAUUGGUCUUGGAUGGACUCGCGGCCUAUCAGCUUGUUGGUGAGGUAAUGGCUCACCAAGGCGACGACGGGUAGCCGGCCUGAGAGGGUGACCGGCCACCGUGGGAUGGAGCACCGGCCCAACUCCCUACGGGGGGCAGAGGGGGGGAAAUUGGCAAAAGGGGCCAAACCUGAAUGCAGGGACCCCGGGGGGGGAAAGACGCCCUUCGGGUUGAAAACCUUUUUCAGUAGGGAAGAAGCGGGAGUGACGGUACCGGGAAAAGAAGCCCCGGCAAACUACUG